This 1228-nucleotide unclassified non-coding RNA is filed under the name Hevea brasiliensis (rubber tree). The record is from RNAcentral. Lineage: Eukaryota; Viridiplantae; Streptophyta; Magnoliopsida; Malpighiales; Euphorbiaceae.
AGUGAUUUAAGGAUUACAAAAACUGGUCUGGCCUCUGAUACAUGGUUCUGCAGCGAAAGCUGUCAAGAGGUUUAUGAAGGUCUUCACUCUCGCAUUGGGUUCGUUAAUCAUCUGGCUGAUGGCUUUUCAUGGACAAUUCUGAGGUGCAUUCUCGGUGACCACAAAGUUCAUUCUCAGCGGUUCAUUGCUUUGAAGGCAGAAUGCAACUCAAAGUUAGCAGUUGCCCUUACGAUUAUGGAGGAGUGCUUUCUUCCCAUGGUGGAUCCAAGAACUGGCAUAGAUAUGAUACCCCAUGUGAUAUACAGCUGGGGAUCACAAUUUUCUCGGUUAAAUUAUCUUGGAUUCUACACGAUGAUCCUGGAGAAAGAUGACAUAUCAGUAGCUGUAGCAUCAGUAAGGAUCCAUGGAGUAACAGUUGCUGAGAUGCCUCUAAUUGCAACAUGCAGUAAAUACCGCCGCCAGGGAAUGUGCAGGCGCCUACUAAAUUCUAUACUGGAGAUGCUAAAGUCGUUCAAGGUCGAGAAACUUGUCAUAUCAGCUAUUCCAGGUUUAGUGGAAACAUGGACUUGUGGCUUUGGCUUUGAACCCUUGGAAGAUCACGAGAAACGAAGUCUAAGUCAUAUCAACCUCAUGGUGUUCCCUGGAACUGUAUGGUUGAAGAAGUCUUUGUUUCAAGCUGCUGAUGCAGAUCAACCGAGUGUUUGUCCGGGUGGAAAUGGCCUCACCAUUAUCGAGUCCAUGCAACAUUGCGUGCCAUCUCAAGAUGUCAAUGCAGGAGCUGAUGUCAGAGACCCACCUCAGUCUGAGAGUUUGCAAUUCUGUGAAGAUGAAGGUGGUAGUAAUCAGGAUCUUGGGCAAGGCUGUGAAGGAAACACCAUUAAUCCAGAGCAUCAAACCGAAACCAGGCUGCCGGACUCAAAUGAUUUGCAACCAGUGGAAGUGCUGUGUGUUGUUGAUGCUCUGCCUAGCAAGUGCUCAAAACUCUCCGAGGAACCGGUUCUGACGUAUAUCAGCCAUGGGGAAGCAGGUUGUAGAGUAGAUAAUUUGCAGAUGAAUGUGGAUAGUCAUUUUUGUUUAGAUGAAGUGAAUUAAUGUGUUGUAGGGGAAUGUGUAAUGACGUUGAUAAUUUAUAAUUUCGUAGCUAUACACCAGCGACUUUGUCAAGCAGGAUAAAAAAAAUAAGCAAAACGAUGCGGAAAAUGAAAAAUUUGGGCGAAUUGCUUUUUCA